RNAcentral lists this long non-coding RNA (1053 nucleotides) under Sus scrofa (pig). RNAcentral's name for it is "lncRNA (ENSSSCG00070015871.1)". The record is from RNAcentral. Lineage: Eukaryota; Metazoa; Chordata; Mammalia; Artiodactyla; Suidae.
AAAAAAAAAGACAUCUUAACAUCUUUGGUACUUUUUUUUUUUUUUUAAGGGCCACACCUGCAGCACAUAGAAUUUCCUAGGCUAGGGGUUGAAUUGGAGCUACAGCUGCCAGCCUGCACCACAACCACAGCAACACCAGAUCUGAGCCGCAUCUGCAAGCUAUGCCACAGCUCACAGCAACACCAUAUCCUUAACCCACUGAGUGAGGCCAGGUAUGGAACCUGAAUUCUCAUGGACACUAUGUCAGGUUCUUAACCCACAGAGCCACAACAGGAACUCCUUAAAUUUUUUAAAAAAAGUUUUAUCAAAGUAUAGCUGAUUUACAAUAUUUUGAUAAUUUCUGCUCUAUGACAAAGUGAUUCAGUUAUACAUGUACACAUAUCCAUUCUUUUUCAGAGGGGCCAGUCCAACUCAAAGAAUCAUUUUUUUUUUUUUCCUUCUUGAAGGAGUUAGGCUCCUGUGAAUCCUACAAAGCCGAGGCUGCUGACCAGAGCACUCAUUCAAGUUAUCUGAGUGGGAGAUCGGAAAGAAGCCAAUCUUUUAACUGCAUGUACUGGAAUUAUUCAUCUUCAGAAUUCUAAAGCAGACUGAAUAGGAUCAGAUGGUGAGUGUCCUACAUUGCUGACCUAGUUUGUCUUCUUUCUGUUUAGUUUCCUUAUAAUUAUGAACUAUCAGAGCUGCUGAUGACUUCAAAAAGCAAUGUUUAUGAUUAUGUAAAAUGGAAUCUUAAGCUUCCCGUGGGUAUGUGGUCAUAGGAUUGUAUUAUUUUUCAACAAAUAUUUCCUAUUUUGGUGGAAAGUUUCAUAUUGCCCACUUUUAUUGAGAAAUGUUAAGUAACUGGCUUAAGAAAUAGCCUGUUGAAAAAGAGUUUUAUUUUGUGAAGGGUCACGGGUGACUUUUCAGAGCCUCUUCAUCUUUCACAAGAGGACUAUAAACUACCUUUCCAGCCUUGUUUCCUGACAUCAUUCUUCAUCUGUUCAUCUGUGCUACAACUGUGGACCUUCCAGCCAACACCUGAAUAAACUGUGUUUGCUCAGUGAGCCCUGACUUUGC